GACGAACGCUGGCGGCGUGCCUAAUACAUGCAAGUUGAGCGCUGAAGGUUGGUACUUGUACCGACUGGAUGAGCAGCGAACGGGUGAGUAACGCGUGGGGAAUCUGCCUUUGAGCGGGGGACAACAUUUGGAAACGAAUGCUAAUACCGCAUAAAAACUUUAAACACAAGUUUUAAGUUUGAAAGAUGCAAUUGCAUCACUCAAAGAUGAUCCCGCGUUGUAUUAGCUAGUUGGUGAGGUAAAGGCUCACCAAGGCGAUGAUACAUAGCCGACCUGAGAGGGUGAUCGGCCACAUUGGGACUGAGGCACGGCCCAAACUCCUACGGGAGGCAGCAGUAGGGAAUCUUCGGCAAUGGACGAAAGUCUGACCGAGCAACGCCGCGUGAGUGAAGAAGGUUUUCGGAUCGUAAAACUCUGUUGGUAGAGAAGAACGUUGGUGAGAGUGGAAAGCUCAUCAAGUGACGGUAACUACCCAGAAAGGGACGGCUAACUACGUG
This 497-nucleotide ribosomal RNA is filed under the name uncultured bacterium. RNAcentral describes it as "partial 16S ribosomal RNA". It matches the Rfam family "Bacterial small subunit ribosomal RNA", at positions 28 to 507 of the family's 1533-position model. The record is from RNAcentral.